AUGGAAGCAGAGUUCUCUGAGUUUUCGAUCUUCGAUUUUCAUCAAAUAUUAGAGGCCACAAGUAACUUUUCUGAAGAAAAUAAACUUGGCAAAGGUGGAUUUGGCCCUGUUUAUAAGGGCCACUUUCCCGAUGGAACUGAAAUUGCAGUAAAGAGACUUGAUUCACAUUCCGGACAAGGUUUGAUGGAGUUCAAAAAUGAAGUUGAGCUCAUAGCCAAACUUCAACACAUGAAUUUGGUUAGGCUCGAUGCUGCUCUCAAGCAGAGGAGAAAAUAUUGGUCUAUGAAUACUUGCCAAACAAAAGCUUGGACUUCUUCAUCUUUGGUACAUAUUAAUUUGCACUUCUAG
RNAcentral lists this ribosomal RNA (348 nucleotides) under Triticum aestivum (bread wheat). RNAcentral's name for it is "partial small subunit ribosomal RNA". Lineage: Eukaryota; Viridiplantae; Streptophyta; Magnoliopsida; Poales; Poaceae. The record is from RNAcentral.